AUGCCGGCGAUUGGGCAGCAGCACCGGGCUGCGCCGCCGCCCCACUUUGUUGCCCGACAGCCACAGCAUCGGCCUGGGCCGGUGCAGACGCGGGAUCCGCCGCCUCAACCUGAGCAUGUGGGCGAUGUAGGCGCUGGACACGCUCGAUUCCCGGUCAACCGUGGUGGUAACGGACCACCUCGGGGACAGUGGGGUGACGAUGGCUAUGACGUCUAUGGUGAGGGCCAACACUGCGGUUCCUCGUCGACCGGAGGCGGGCGUGGGUUUGCAUGGCAGAGUGAUGGCACUGCUGAGAGACCUUUUUAUGGUCCUCCGGGAGGUUUUGUUGAGGGGGCAUCUGGCCUAGACUACCGGCAGAGAGGUGGUUACCGAGGUCAUCGUGGUGGUCGCGGUGGUCGGAAUCGUUACCGCCAACCUCCAAUGCCUGUUGUUGUGGAGCCGACGGCGUCCUCGGAGGUGGGUGCUUCUGGAUUGACGCCGGAGUUGUCCGGCCAGGUUAUGGAAGCGGUGACGGCACUGGCUAACACUGACAUACCUGUGACUGAGCCUGCGCCCACAGGUGCUGUCAGUGCCGCCGACAAGUCUGAUGUGGAUAGAGCUUCCAAGUGGGCUCGUAAAAAGGAGAAGAUGUGCUACCGUUGUGGAGAGAGGGGCCACUUUAUUGCUGAGUGUGAAACUGAGUAA
Molecule: ribosomal RNA, 684 nt
Filed under: Triticum aestivum (bread wheat)
Lineage: Eukaryota; Viridiplantae; Streptophyta; Magnoliopsida; Poales; Poaceae
Description: partial small subunit ribosomal RNA
Source: RNAcentral